This 429-nucleotide ribosomal RNA is filed under the name Chloroflexota bacterium. RNAcentral describes it as "Chloroflexi bacterium partial 16S ribosomal RNA". It matches the Rfam family "Bacterial small subunit ribosomal RNA", at positions 355 to 776 of the family's 1533-position model. The record is from RNAcentral. Lineage: Bacteria; Bacillati; Chloroflexota.
UGGGGAAUAUUGCACAAUGGGCGCAAGCCUGAUGCAGCCAUGCCGCGUGUGUGAAGAAGGCCUUCGGGUUGUAAAGCACUUUCAGCGGGGAGGAAGGCGAUAAGGUUAAUAACCUUGUCGAUUGACGUUACCCGCAGAAGAAGCACCGGCUAACUCCGUGCCAGCAGCCGCGGUAAUACGGAGGGUGCAAGCGUUAAUCGGAAUUACUGGGCGUAAAGCGCACGCAGGCGGUCUGUCAAGUCGGAUGUGAAAUCCCCGGGCUCAACCUGGGAACUGCAUUCGAAACUGGCAGGCUAGAGUCUUGUAGAGGGGGGUAGAAUUCCAGGUGUAGCGGUGAAAUGCGUAGAGAUCUGGAGGAAUACCGGUGGCGAAGGCGGCCCCCUGGAAAAAGACUGACGCUCAGGUGCGAAAGCGUGGGGAGCAAACAGG